GCCCGGAUGGUGAAAUUGGUAGACACAGGGGACUUAAAAUCCCCCGCUUUCCCUUCAACGGGGCGUGCCGGUUCGACCCCGGCUCCGGGCACCA
Molecule: transfer RNA, 94 nt
Filed under: Variovorax dokdonensis
Lineage: Bacteria; Pseudomonadati; Pseudomonadota; Betaproteobacteria; Burkholderiales; Comamonadaceae
Description: tRNA-Leu
Rfam family: tRNA
About the family: Transfer RNA (tRNA) molecules are approximately 80 nucleotides in length. Their secondary structure includes four short double-helical elements and three loops (D, anti-codon, and T loops). Further hydrogen bonds mediate the characteristic L-shaped molecular structure. tRNAs have two regions of fundamental functional importance: the anti-codon, which is responsible for specific mRNA codon recognition, and the 3' end, to which the tRNAs corresponding amino acid is attached (by aminoacyl-tRNA synthetases). tRNAs cope with the degeneracy of the genetic code in two manners: having more than one tRNA (with a specific anti-codon) for a particular amino acid; and 'wobble' base-pairing, i.e. permitting non-standard base-pairing at the 3rd anti-codon position.
Source: RNAcentral